This is a long non-coding RNA of Onychostruthus taczanowskii (white-rumped snowfinch), 556 nucleotides long. RefSeq lists it as uncharacterized. The transcript is spliced from 3 exons. Lineage: Eukaryota; Metazoa; Chordata; Aves; Passeriformes; Passeridae. The record is from RefSeq and is a predicted model, not a curated record.
AGGAAAUAUCUGAAGAGGUGGCAUCACACAGUGGUACGGCGCCGGUGCCAGCAUGAUAGGAAACCGCUCCAUCUGGCAAGGGGGUGGCAUCAGUGGAGGGAAUCCAGCAAGGUGGUGAGACUGGCUCAGGUGCUGGACCAGCAGCGGCUGAUAGAAAAGGCCUGGAGGGUGUGGAGACAAAGAUACUUGCAAAGCUGUGUGGUGCAGAAUCUUUUGGAGGAGGAAGCCAGGAGCCUCUUGUCUCAGGCCUUUAGAAGGUGGUGGCAGCUCACAGCAUUCCAGUGUAAGGACAAAGGAUCCUGCUGAAUGGAGGGGCCUGCCUGCAGCUGCUGCUCAAUUCAGGACACGUGGAGGAUACAGCUCCUGUCACAACAAAGAGGUGGUCCUGUGCUGUCAAGAAAGAACACUUUGCUCUUACAAUAAAAGCAGUGCUGCCAGUCAGAAGGAUGACAGCCAAAGAACAACCAGGAAGAGAUUGUACCUAGUGAAAGGCCCUCUUUAAAGGACUUGUAUCUUACCUCCUUAGCAACACAAACAGAGAAUUUACAGUUGUGAG